AACGAACGCUGGCGGCAUGCCUAACACAUGCAAGUCGAACGAGACCCUGACUUCGGUUGGACGUCUAGUGGCGCACGGGUGCGUAACGCGUGGGAACCUGCCCUUAGGUUCGGAAUAACAGCGAGAAAUUGCUGCUAAUACCGGAUAAUAUCGAAAGAUCAAAGAUUUAUCGCCAAAGGAUGGGCCCGCGUAGGAUUAGCUAGUUGGUGAGGUAAUGGCUCACCAAGGCGACGAUCCUUAGCUGGUCUUAGAGGAUGAUCAGCCACACUGGGACUGAGACACGGCCCAGACUCCUACGGGAGGCAGCAGUGGGGAAUAUUGGACAAUGGGCGAAAGCCUGAUCCAGCAAUGCCGCGUGAGUGAUGAAGGCCUUAGGGUUGUAAAG
RNAcentral lists this ribosomal RNA (385 nucleotides) under uncultured bacterium. RNAcentral describes it as "bacterial SSU rRNA". It matches the Rfam family "Bacterial small subunit ribosomal RNA", at positions 29 to 430 of the family's 1533-position model. The record is from RNAcentral.